Molecule: long non-coding RNA, 790 nt
Organism: Herpailurus yagouaroundi (jaguarundi)
Lineage: Eukaryota; Metazoa; Chordata; Mammalia; Carnivora; Felidae
Exons: 2
Source: RefSeq, a predicted model, not a curated record
UAGCCACAGACACGUAUCUUUCCUUCUCCUGGUGCUGUGGCCAACCAUUGCCAAUUCCUUGAGAGAAGGACUGCCUGCAGCCCUGCUUUGGGUUUAGACGGGCACUCCCAUUUACUUUUCGGUCCAGACAAUUUUUCAAGUUCCAGGCUGGGGAGAUUAUGAGCAAUGGUAAAGGAAAGAUUCUUUGGUUUACUGGUGCUCUGUGAAGCCACAGCACCCACGGAUUGCCCUGAGCUUCAUCCCAUUUAUGAAGUUCAAGAGGCAAGUGGUUAGCCAGGAUAUACUUGGUUUUAUGCCCUGCCUUGCAAGAAAGGCCUUUGCUGAAUUACAUUGGAAAGUUGUGUCUCAGUCUUAAAAUCAAGGCCCCCUCAUUGUGUUCUGCGGUCUCAUUCAUACGAGGGGUGUGUGCCUGCUGCAACACAGCCAGAGAGCAAAGGAGCAUGGCUGCUGGUUCCCUCCGCUGGUUCCCCCACGCCGGAGACCCCAUCAAAUAAUCUCACGGUCCCGCAUUUCCUCUGGCCUUACCGCCCUGCUGUGUCCAGAGGGAAAUGGAGAGGAUCAUCUUUCUGAGCUCUGACCCAUGGCUAACACAUGCCCAAAGCUGCUCUGCUGGGGCCUCCACAAGGAUAACAACUCCUUCUGCCUCUUCCUCAAGUCCUCUCCACUGGGCUUGAAGGACCCAUCUCAUGGGGACUGACAGAGGACAGUCACCUCAUAUCUGCCUUCUCUGCCCCAGAAAACAGAGCUCAAAGCUUCCUCCCUAUAACAAUAAAAGCUUUCAGGUAAAUCA